AGACGGCAAGGGAUGUGUAGCUUUUUCAAUCCUGGCCAUAACAUUCUUCUUCAUGCUCUUCUCAAUGUCCUUUCUCCUUUCAUUAGGUAAAAUGGAGAUGAUCCCCAGGGCCAUCUUGGAAACAGUUUUUGAAGUUGGUAGAGUCUCGGGCCCGCUUAACUGCUGAAAGAGUAGGAAGGGGUCCGUUUCAUUAGCGCGUUCAACCAAAGAGCGCUGUUAGGUUUCCUGCACCACAAGGUUCCUUUCACUUAAAAAAAUUUUUUUUUAUAUUACACCAUCUUUAUUUGUACCUUACCGUCUAAGGCUAUCAAUCAAACUUCAGUAAGAACAGUUUCAGCAUCAACUAACGAACAGUAGCCAAACCAGAGAGCAGUCAAAAGUGUUUUAAAGGGAGCAGCAUCAGCUGAUGUUCUGCCAAGUCUCUGGGUGUUCAGGACCAUGGUCCCCCGGCACUUCCAGGCCCCUGUGGGCUGCAGGUGGAUCCCCAGGAGCCAAAGGGCCGCUCAGGAAAGGGUGGAACUUGGCCUCGCAAUCAGCUGGCUUCUGCCUAUUAUGGUCAUCUUCUUUCCAGAGGUCUUGCUAUCUCAGUGGACGUG
Molecule: long non-coding RNA, 596 nt
Filed under: Homo sapiens (human)
Lineage: Eukaryota; Metazoa; Chordata; Mammalia; Primates; Hominidae
Description: long intergenic non-protein coding RNA 837
Source: RNAcentral